Molecule: long non-coding RNA, 660 nt
Organism: Tripterygium wilfordii
Lineage: Eukaryota; Viridiplantae; Streptophyta; Magnoliopsida; Celastrales; Celastraceae
Exons: 3
Source: RefSeq, a predicted model, not a curated record
AGAAGCUCUCUUGCCUCUUCUCUUUUCGUUAUCCACGAAGCUCUUUUUUCUCUCCGUCUGUUUCGUUCUCUAUAAUCAUCUCUCUGCUUCAUGGGCAUGCAUCUUCGCUGGUGUCCGAUAGAGAUUAAGUUUAGCUUUUCGUGGAUGUCGAUCAUCUUUUUUCUCGGUUUUGCCUCAUGGAUCUCGUAGCUUCUACGAUCCAUGGAACCACAAUGGAUGGCCAGUGAAUACGGUGUGCGGUGUGAAGCGUAAUCAGGAAUGGACGGCGAUCAAAUCUGAAUUUCUGGGUAAAUUUGGUGCCUUUAGAAGGCUUCAGUGCACUUCAAGGAAUUUCGGGUUCACAUAAGUUUCAGAUACACAAGGCAUAUAGCAGCCAUGAUCACUUGCCAUCUGCACAUACUUGAUUCAAUCAGUUGGAUUUACUUGAGUAUCCCUCCAAGGAAUUUCUAGAGGAGAAACUUUUGGUUGCAAUUCAUGAAGGCAAUGAAGGAUUUGGAUUUGGUUGAGUAUUAUGAAUGGGGAUUAUGUAGGUAAUGUCAUAUGUGAGACAAGUUGUAAGUAAUGGGAAAAGAGCUCUGGUAUAAGGUUUGAUCCUGGGAAGUUGGGUUGAUACAUGUUAACAUACUUGCUGAUUUAAUGGUUAGUAUAUCAUUGUCCUGC